Molecule: non-coding RNA, 676 nt
Organism: Megalobrama amblycephala (Wuchang bream)
Lineage: Eukaryota; Metazoa; Chordata; Actinopteri; Cypriniformes; Xenocyprididae
Source: the annotation of a RefSeq genome assembly
AAAGCUCCACCCAAAUGUAAAUGACAUGAUUUACAGUAUUUCUACCAGCAGUAUUCAGUGACAUUGUAGCAGUUGGUCUUCCUGCAUCAUUUGAAAUGGCAGACAUUCCAUUCUUAUUUUUUCUCCUGAUGUGUUUAACUAGUGUUAAUGGUCAGAGCCUGGAGUCCAUCCCAUCAAGUUCUGUUACCAAAAAGCCUGGAGAAAUUUUGAACCUUUCCUGUAGAGGAUCUGGAUUUGAUUUUGGACAAUACGGCAUGCACUGGAUCAGACAGCCAGCAGGGAAAGCAUUGAACUGGAUGGGGCUCAUCUGGUAUGAUGCCAGUAAAACAGUGUAUGCAAAAAGUGUUGAGGGACGAAUAGAGAUCACCAGAGAUAAUUCAAACAGCGUGGUGUAUCUGAAACUCUCCGGUCUGAAAGCAGAGGAUUCAGCUGUUUAUUACUGUGCAGGAGAGACACAAUGAUGAAAAAAAGCACUGGGCUGUACAAAAACAUGUCAGGGAGGAAAAUGGGCAGGGAGGAAAAUGGGCAAGACAAAACAAAAACAAACAGCAGAUGACGCUGGAGCACAGUACAACUUUGAUCCAAAGAAACAGACACACCUUCUGCUGAAGGAUAAAAUACAUAAGCUAUAAAAGAAUAUAAACUUAUUUAAAUGCCUUUAUCACUGAGUCUGACA